CGUAGGGCGCAAGCGUUGUCCGGAAUUAUUGGGCGUAAAGAGCUCGUAGGCGGCUUGUCACGUCGGUUGUGAAAGCCCGGGGCUUAACCCCGGGUCUGCAGUCGAUACGGGCAGGCUAGAGUGUGGUAGGGGAGAUCGGAAUUCCUGGUGUAGCGGUGAAAUGCGCAGAUAUCAGGAGGAACACCGGUGGCGAAGGCGGAUCUCUGGGCCAUUACUGACGCUGAGGAGCGAAAGCGUGGGGAGCGAACAGGAUUAGAUACCCUGGUAGUCCACGCCGUAAACGGUGGGCACUAGGUGUUGGCGACAUUCCACGUCGUCGGUGCCGCAGCUAACGCAUUAAGUGCCCCGCCUGGGGAGUACGGCCGCAAGGCUA
This 373-nucleotide ribosomal RNA is filed under the name uncultured organism. RNAcentral describes it as "bacterial SSU rRNA". It matches the Rfam family "Bacterial small subunit ribosomal RNA", at positions 526 to 896 of the family's 1533-position model. The record is from RNAcentral.